GGGAACCGUCCAGUUUGCACCGAGUCGACCCAGUUCAGAACCAACCCCCCUUACCCCUUGCAUUUUUUGUUAAAAGGUGUUGGAAAAUUCUUCCCAGCAUCUUCUCCUCUGUUUAGUUUAGAUCUUAUCCCCAAUUUGCAAAAUUACAGCGAUUCAGCACAAUUGAAGGAAGAUCCAAACCUAAAUAAGGUGUACUUCCUCUUCCCUAUCUCAUGUUCUCUAUUUUUCGGGGCUCGAAAAAAUAGCUAAUUUACAAAAUAAGGAAAGAUCGUGUCAAAAUUUUUGAUUUAGGCUUCAUAUUACAAUAUAUUGUAAUCUAUGGAUGAGCUACACAAUGACAUAAAGAAUUUAAUUUUUUAUUAUAUAUAAUUUUUAAAAAAUUAAAAAUAUAUUUUUGAAUUAAAAAUGAUUAAUAUAUAUAAUAAAAUUUUAAAAAAAUUGUAAAAUCAGAAGCGUAUUUAGGGGCAUGCAAGCUACUCUCCAAAAAAAUUUGGUGUCUAUUUAUUUAAAUUUUGAUGUGAUCAUGUACACAGUGACCUAGACCUAAAUUUGAAAAAAAAUAAAAAAUAAAUAGCCUUAAAUGCAUAUCCACAGGCCUAAAAAAAUAUAUGUAGCAUCCAUUAUUGGAUUCUAU
This 634-nucleotide long non-coding RNA is filed under the name Phoenix dactylifera (date palm). RNAcentral's name for it is "long non-coding RNA (PDAC_LNC011986)". The record is from RNAcentral. Lineage: Eukaryota; Viridiplantae; Streptophyta; Magnoliopsida; Arecales; Arecaceae.